This 497-nucleotide ribosomal RNA is filed under the name uncultured bacterium. RNAcentral describes it as "partial 16S ribosomal RNA". It matches the Rfam family "Bacterial small subunit ribosomal RNA", at positions 28 to 507 of the family's 1533-position model. The record is from RNAcentral.
GAUGAACGCUGGCGGCGUGCCUAAUACAUGCAAGUCGAGCGAACAGACGAGGAGCUUUCUCCUCUGACGUUAGCGGCGGACGGGUGAGUAACACGUGGAUAACCUACCUAUAAGACUGGGAUAACUUCGGGAAACCGGAGCUAAUACCGGAUAAUAUAUUGAACCGCAUGGUUCAAUAGUGAAAGACGGUUUUGCUGUCACUUAUAGAUGUAUCCGCGCCGCAUUGGCUAGUUGGUAAGGUAAAGGCUUACCAAGGCAACGAUGCGUAGCCGAACUGAGAGGGUGAUCGGCCACACUGGAACUGAGACACGGUCCAGACUCCUACGGGAGGCAGCAGUAGGGAAUCUUGCGCAAUGGGCGAAAGCCUGACGGAGCAACGCCGCGUGAGUGAUGAAGGUCUUCGGAUCGUAAAACUCUGUUAUUAGGGAAGAACAAAUGUGUAAGUAACUAUGCACGUCUUGACGGUACCUACUCAGAAAGCCACGGCUAACUACGUG